GUGUCCAUAGAAAAGGUCUUAGAUCUUUGAGUUUAGCUCAUGAAAAAUGGGAGCAAAAACAAAAGUGUUGCGUUUACAUUUUUGUUCAGUAUAAAUUAUUGUUGUCCGAGAUAAAUCUCAGGGAGCCCUACUGACUCAAUGCAGAACUUCAAAUCGAUAAAAUUUUGCUGCUGUGCAGUUCUUUUUUCAACCAACAGAUGGUUCCCAAGUCAUGUUGGAUCGUUCCUAUCACUACCAACAAACAAUAAGCCAAUCUAGAGUUGUUACAUAAGCAUAAACAGGCUCUCAAGUUCAGCAAAUAUGAUUGGUCAGUUGUUGGUCAAUAAAUCUUAAAUAGUCUGGCAUUCAUCAUUUUGAGCUUCUGACCCUAUUAAACACGCCUGAUAACAACGGCUGGCUAAGAGUUCUGCUCACAGAUGCACACCCACGCUCCGACACACAGGCUUAUCAUUAACUGCUGCUGGAUUAGAAUGUGUUGUUGGACCUGAAUGCAGCUUAAAUCUGAUUGAAGAUCAGCGUCACGGCUUGAGUUGGACCCAAAGGUCAGAAAAACAAGAGAAAGAGGGCCAGCUGAGAGGGAGGAUGGUGUAAAACAAACUAACUGCAGCCUAGUGUACAUGUACAUACUUCAUAUUCUGUAAUAUCCAAGUGUUGCUCAAACCAGUGCUCAUGCAGUGUGAUCAUCCACGAUUUAACAUGCACACCGUUCACGGCCACAUUAUUGUGCAACAAGACAAACACCUUGAAACUGUAGAUUUACAUGCUGUCUGUUCCUUGUGUUCAGUUCAGUUAUUUCAGUUUUUGGGCCGAGUAGCAAAACAAAUCAAUAAAAUUUGACAUUGAGGGCAGUGCCUCUGGAUUGGCAGACAGGGGUGGCAGUCCCCCUUUUUAAGAAGCGGGACCGGAGGGUGUGUUCCAACUAUAGGGGGUGUCACUCUACUUAGCCCCACUGGUAAGGUCUAUUUAGGGGUCCUAGAGAAGAGGGUCCUUCAGAUUGUCAAACCUCAGAUUCAGAAGGAACAAUGUGGUUUUUGUCCUGGUCCUGGAAUUGUGGACCAGUUCUACAUCCUCAGCAGGAUCCUUGAGGGUGCAUGGGAAUUUGCCCAACAAGUCCACAUGUGCUUUGUGAACUCGGAAACGAUUUAACCAUGUCCCCUGGGAAGCCCUGUGGGGGGUGCUCCAUAUGGGGUAGCAUGGGGUAUCAGACACUCUGAUAAGGACUGUUCAUUCCCCAUACGACUGGUGCCAUAGUUUGGUCUGCAUAGUCAGUAGGACUCAUUUCCAGUGAGAGUUGGACUCCACCAGAGCUACCCUUUGUCACUCAUUCUGUUCAUAACUUUAAAUGGCAGAAUUUCUAGGUGCAGCUAGUUCAGGUUCGGUCGCCUGAGGAUUGAGUCACUGCUUUUUGCAGAUGACGUAGUCCUGUUGGCUACAUCAGGCUGUGACCUUCAGCUCUGACUGGAUCGGUUCGCAACCAAGUGUGAGGCAGCUCGGAUGAGAAACAGCACCUCCAAAUAUGAGUCCAUGGUUCUCAGCCAGAAAAGGGUGGAGUGCCCUCUCCAGGUCAGGUAUGAGAUCCUGCCUCAAGUGGAGGAGUUCAAGUAUCUCGGGGUCUUGUUCAGAAGUGAGGGAAGAAUGGAACUGGAGAUCGACAGGUGGAUUGGUGCCACUUCAGCAGUGCUGAAAGGCAAAGCUCUCGACAUAGUGGUCGAUCUACGCUCCUACCCUCACCUGUGGUCAGGAGCUGUGGGUAGUGACUUAAAGAACAAGAUCCUGGGUACAAACGGCCGAAAUGAGUUUCCCCCAGAAGAUGGUUGGACUCUCCCUUUCAGACAGGGUGAGAAGCUUGGUCAUCCAGAAGCAGCUGCCCCCCCUGCAUUGAGAGGAGUCCAAUGAGGUGGCUUGGGCAUCUAAUCAGGAUGCCUCCUAGACCCCUCACUGGUGAGGUGUUCAGGGCACGCCCUAUUGGUAGGAGACCACGGGAAAGACUCAGGACAUGCUGCAGAGGACAUGCUACUACGAAGUGGCUAGGGGGAGGAAAGUGUGGGCUUCCCUGGGUAAGUGGUAGAGGAUGGACAGGUGGAAUACUCACAUGACUUCUGCUGAUGAUUCAGUGGGUAUGCAGUCCCUUGACGAGCAUUUUGUGGACAGAAGUGAUGAAGCAGGACUUUCUCUGCAAUGACCUGAUAGCUAAUAUGAGGAGCAGUACACACGUAGCCUUGUUGCUAAAAUAAGUUUAAAGUAAACCUGUAUGUUUAACUUUAUCACCUCUCCAGAGAUAUUUACGGUCAUUACACACUUUCAACCAACUGUUGGUCUCAUAAUGUUUGGAAAUCAUUGCUCGGUUGCAAAUUAGUACAGGCCUUUUCACAGAGGAGCUUUUUGAGUAAUCACAGCAGGCAAACCACCGAUGCUGUUGAUGGUUACUGCACACACAUCCUUAUAUUUAUCUGAUCACAGAAAAGUCUUCGGCUAAUGACACAUCCAGUGUCUGUUUUAUUGCAACAGACACGUUGCAUUGCUCUUUAUAAAGUCUGUCUGUACCUCACAGAGGCAUUGAGUAAUCCUUGACUUUUAUUAACCGUUGUUGGUAACUUGCAGAAAUUGCAGCAAUCCUGAAGUCUGUGUAAGAGCAUAAAGAAGCCAGACGUUUGUGCAACACCACCGGCUUGACAUUGCAGAUUCAUAGUUUGGAGUGUGUUUGUGGUGUUUCAUUAAUCACAAUGAGGAUUUACACUGAAGCAUAUGUGUCAGGUGCAGGGUCUAUUUUGCACCUGUGAGCUGCCAUGGAGUGAGAGCAGAGUUGAUUGGGUGUUAGAGGGAUAUUUAAGAAGUGCAGAGCAAACUGUUACACAUCAUUAACUUGGCUCCACUUAUUAGUAAUGAGCUCACGACCAUGCCUGGAGAGAUUUAUUUGGUUCAAAGACUCAGUUCACAUCUGCUAGUAACAUCGCACCGACUCACGUCAUGGUAACACAAUCACUCCUCGAGAAAGUGAGAGAUGCUGAGGGGGAGAAGGAGACAGUGAUGUAGAAAUGGGGCAAAGGGCGCAGGACUAAUCCUCUAGACAGCAUCACUCUCAUCCCUGCAGACCAAGCCUGUAAUCUGUGUGCUGGAUGGAGACACCCCACAGAGACUGUCUCUGGCUUUUGGCUCCAGCUGUUUGAUGGCUGGAUUGAGAGGUCAAGUGAGAUCAAAUGUGCUGCUCGGUCUGUUGUACAACAGAGUUGGCCUAAUAAAGAUGCAGUUACAGUAAUCCUUUCUGUAAAAGCCCCCUGCAGAACCUGGGCAAGCCUUUUACCCUCUAUUUGUCUGGAGAUAAUGUGGGUUUGAGGGAAAGGAAAAGAGGGAAUAAGGGAGUCAACCCUUCCUGCCACUCAUUCCCCUUUAUUGCUUGUGUUUUGUUCUGGUUGCUCCCUGAUUUUCACAUCAGUGAUAUAGUUAAACAUGUUCAUAUCAUGCUAUUUUGAGUUUCAUGUUAAUAUUCAGAGAUCACAUUGACCCUUAGGAGUCAACUGUGAAAAAGCACUCUGUAUGUAUUCAUUUCAUCCCC
This is a non-coding RNA of Xyrichtys novacula (pearly razorfish), 3553 nucleotides long. The record is from the annotation of a GenBank genome assembly. NCBI's taxonomy places the organism in Eukaryota, Metazoa, Chordata, Actinopteri, Labriformes, Labridae.